Merluccius polli (Benguela hake) is the source of this 77-nucleotide non-coding RNA. Lineage: Eukaryota; Metazoa; Chordata; Actinopteri; Gadiformes; Merlucciidae. The record is from the annotation of a GenBank genome assembly.
GGCCCUGUCUGUCUCAAACGGCAGAGAAUGGAAUUCACCACUGUCAGGGUUCUGGGUUCGAUUCCCAGUGGGGUCCA